GCCGGCGUGAUGGAAUUGGUAGACGUGCUGGACUCAAAAUCCAGUGGUGGCAACACCGUAUCGGUUCGACCCCGAUCGCCGGCACCA
This 87-nucleotide transfer RNA is filed under the name Eubacteriales Family XIII. Incertae Sedis bacterium. RNAcentral's name for it is "tRNA-Leu". It matches the Rfam family "tRNA". Rfam says of the family: Transfer RNA (tRNA) molecules are approximately 80 nucleotides in length. The record is from RNAcentral. Lineage: Bacteria; Bacillati; Bacillota; Clostridia; Peptostreptococcales; Anaerovoracaceae.